Molecule: ribosomal RNA, 578 nt
Filed under: uncultured bacterium
Lineage: Bacteria
Description: bacterial SSU rRNA
Rfam family: Bacterial small subunit ribosomal RNA
Source: RNAcentral
CUCUUCGGGGAUGAUUAAACCGGCGCACGGGUGAGUAACACGUGAGUGACCUGCCUUUUAGACUGGAACAACUUACCGAAAGGUGAGCUAAUGCCGGAUGAGUUAUAUAAGUGCAUGUUUAUAUAGGAAAAGUUGGGGAGACCUGACGCUGAAAGAUGGACUCGCGUCCCAUUAGCUAGUUGGUAGGGUAAUGGCCUACCAAGGCGACGAUGGGUAGCCGGCCUGAGAGGGUGGCCGGCCACACUGGGACUGAGACACGGCCCAGACUCCUACGGGAGGCAGCAGUGGGGAAUUUUGCGCAAUGCUCGUAAGAGUGACGCAGCGACGCCGCGUGAAUGACGAAGGCCUUCGGGUCGUAAAGUUCUUUCGACAGGGAAGAAAAUGCCUAUAAGUAACUGUGUAUGUAUUGACGGUACCUGUAUAAGCAGCCCCGGCUAACUCCGUGCCAGCAGCCGCGGUAAUACGGAGGGGGCGAGCGUUGUUCGGAGUGACUGGGCGUAAAGAGCACGUAGGCGGUGUUGUAAGUCAUUAGUCAAAGACUAGAGCUCAACUUUAGUAAGGCUAGUGAUACUAUAAUA